Molecule: ribosomal RNA, 458 nt
Filed under: uncultured bacterium
Lineage: Bacteria
Description: bacterial SSU rRNA
Rfam family: Bacterial small subunit ribosomal RNA
Source: RNAcentral
GAUGAACGCUGGCGGCGUGCCUAAUACAUGCAAGUCGGACGGAUGUAGCAAUACUGUCUUAGUGGCGAACGGGUGAGUAACGCGUUGGUGACCUGCCCCGAAGAGGGGGAUAACAGUCCGAAAGGAUUGCUAAUACCCCAUGUGGUCGUUUGGAUUAGAUGCCUUACGACUAAACGGAUUUAUUCGCUUCGGGAGGGGCCUGCGUCCCAUCAGCUAGUUGGUAGGGUAAUAGCCUACCAAGGCGAUGACGGGUAGGGGACCUGAGAGGGUGGCCCCCCACAAUGGAACUGAAACACGGUCCAUACACCUACGGGUGGCAGCAGUAGGGAAUAUUGGUAAUCUGGGAAACCGGGAACCAGCAACGCCGCGUGCGCGAUGAAGGCCUUCGGGUUGUAAAGCGCUUUUUAAAGGGAUGAGGAAGGACAGUACCUUUAGAAUAAGCCUCGGCUAACUACGUG